RNAcentral lists this ribosomal RNA (1163 nucleotides) under Enterococcus faecalis. RNAcentral's name for it is "partial 23S ribosomal RNA". It matches the Rfam family "Bacterial large subunit ribosomal RNA", at positions 389 to 1553 of the family's 2925-position model. The record is from RNAcentral. Lineage: Bacteria; Bacillati; Bacillota; Bacilli; Lactobacillales; Enterococcaceae.
GACAACACCUAGGAGGAUCCUGAGUACGGCGGAACACGAGAAAUUCCGUCGGAAUCCGCGGGGACCAUCCCGCAAGGCUAAAUACUCCCUAGUGACCGAUAGUGAACCAGUACCGUGAGGGAAAGGUGAAAAGCACCCCGGAAGGGGAGUGAAAUAGAUCCUGAAACCGUGUGCCUACAACAAGUCAAAGCUCGUUAAUGAGUGAUGGCGUGCCUUUUGUAGAAUGAACCGGCGAGUUACGAUUGCAUGCGAGGUUAAGUCGAAGAGACGGAGCCGCAGCGAAAGCGAGUCUGAAUAGGGCGAAUGAGUAUGUAGUCGUAGACCCGAAACCAUGUGAUCUACCCAUGUCCAGGUUGAAGGUGCGGUAAAACGCACUGGAGGACCGAACCCACGUACGUUGAAAAGUGCGGGGAUGAGGUGUGGGUAGCGGAGAAAUUCCAAACGAACUUGGAGAUAGCUGGUUCUCUCCGAAAUAGCUUUAGGGCUAGCCUCGGAAUUGAGAAUGAUGGAGGUAGAGCACUGUUUGGACUAGGGGCCCAUCUCGGGUUACCGAAUUCAGAUAAACUCCGAAUGCCAUUCAUUUAUAUCCGGGAGUCAGACUGCGAGUGAUAAGAUCCGUAGUCGAAAGGGAAACAGCCCAGACCACCAGCUAAGGUCCCAAAAUAUAUGUUAAGUGGAAAAGGAUGUGGGGUUGCACAGACAACUAGGAUGUUGGCUUAGAAGCAGCCACCAUUUAAAGAGUGCGUAAUAGCUCACUAGUCGAGUGACCCUGCGCCGAAAAUGUACCGGGGCUAAACAUAUUACCGAAGCUGUGGACUACACCAUUAGGUGUAGUGGUAGGAGAGCGUUCUAAGGGCGUUGAAGGUCGAUCGUGAGGACGGCUGGAGCGCUUAGAAGUGAGAAUGCCGGUAUGAGUAGCGAAAGACAGGUGAGAAUCCUGUCCACCGUAUGACUAAGGUUUCCUGGGGAAGGCUCGUCCGCCCAGGGUUAGUCGGGACCUAAGCCGAGGCCGAUAGGCGUAGGCGAUGGACAACAGGUUGAUAUUCCUGUACCAGUUGUUUUUGUUUGAGCAAUGGAGGGACGCAGUAGGCUAAGGAAUGCAUGCGAUUGGAAGUGCAUGUCCAAGCAAUGAGUCUUGAGUAGAGUUAAAUGCUUUACUCUCU